AUGAGCUCACUGGUUCUACUGCUGGCCACCCUGGGGCUCCUGGUUCAGGGUUCAUCAGGACAAAUCACCCUGACUCAGUCUCCUGAAUCUCAGUCUGUUGUUCCAGGACAGACUGUCUCCAUCAGAUGCAAAACCAGUUCAGAUGUUAGUAGCUGGCUCCACUGGUACCUUCAGAAACCUGGAGAAGCUCCUAAACUCCUGAUUAAUUCUGCUACAAGCCGUCAAUCUGGAGUUCCAGGUCGUUUCAGUGGAAGUGGAUCUGGGACUGACUUCACUCUGACCAUCAGUGGAGUUCAGGCUGAAGAUUCAGGAGUUUACUACUGUCAGCAGAGUUACAGCAGCCCGUUCACACAGUGAUACAACGUC
Chelmon rostratus (copperband butterflyfish) is the source of this 366-nucleotide non-coding RNA. NCBI's taxonomy places the organism in Eukaryota, Metazoa, Chordata, Actinopteri, Chaetodontiformes, Chaetodontidae. The record is from the annotation of a RefSeq genome assembly.